Molecule: transfer RNA, 105 nt
Filed under: Planctomycetota bacterium
Lineage: Bacteria; Pseudomonadati; Planctomycetota
Description: tRNA-Ser
Source: RNAcentral
GAGGAGGUAGUGCAGCAGUUGGUGGCCUCAGAGCCCUUUGUCGAUGCCGUGUUGGACGGCCUCGUUGCCAACGAGGAGUUGGGAGUUCGAUUCUCCCUCGUCCCA